RNAcentral lists this ribosomal RNA (490 nucleotides) under uncultured bacterium. Its description in RNAcentral is "partial 16S ribosomal RNA". It matches the Rfam family "Bacterial small subunit ribosomal RNA", at positions 30 to 507 of the family's 1533-position model. The record is from RNAcentral.
AUUGAACGCUGGCGGCAGGCCUAACACAUGCAAGUCGAACGGUAACAGGAAACAGCUUGCUGUUUCGCUGACGAGUGGCGGACGGGUGAGUAAUGUCUGGGAAACUGCCUGAUGGAGGGGGAUAACUACUGGAAACGGUAGCUAAUACCGCAUAACGUCGCAAGACCAAAGAGGGGGACCCUCGGGCCUCUUGCCAUCGGAUGUGCCCAGAUGGGAUUAGCUUGUUGGUGGGGUAACGGCUCACCAAGGCGACGAUCCCUAGCUGGUCUGAGAGGAUGACCAGCCACACUGGAACUGAGACACGGUCCAGACUCCUACGGGAGGCAGCAGUGGGGAAUAUUGCACAAUGGGCGCAAGCCUGAUGCAGCCAUGCCGCGUGUAUGAAGAAGGCGUUCGGGUUGUAAAGUACUUUCAGCGGGGAGGAAGGGAGUAAAGUUAAUACCUUUGCUCAUUGACGUUACCCGCAGAAGAAGCACCGGCUAACUCCGUG